GAUGAACGCUGACAGAAUGCUUAACACAUGCAAGUCAACUUGAACUUCGGUUUGGGUGGCGGACGGGUGAGUAACGCGUAGAGAACUUGCCUCACAGCUAGGGACAACAUUUGGAAACGAAUGCUAAUACCUGAUAUUAUGAUUUUAGGGCAUCCUAGAAUUAUGAAAGCUAUAUGCGCUGUGAGAGAGCUUUGCGUCCCAUUAGCUAGUUGGAGAGGUAACGGCUCACCAAGGCGAUGAUGGGUAGCCGGCCUGAGAGGGUGAACAGCCACAAGGGGACUGAGACACGGCCCUUACUCCUACGGGAGGCAGCAGUGGGGAAUAUUGGACAAUGGACCAAGAGUCUGAUCCAGCAAUUCUGUGUGCACGAUGAAGUUUUUCGGAAUGUAAAGUGCUUUCAGUUGGGAAGAAAAAAAUGACGGUACCAACAGAAGAAGUGACGGCUAAAUACGUG
Molecule: ribosomal RNA, 454 nt
Filed under: uncultured bacterium
Lineage: Bacteria
Description: partial 16S ribosomal RNA
Rfam family: Bacterial small subunit ribosomal RNA
Source: RNAcentral